Molecule: ribosomal RNA, 418 nt
Filed under: Trogoderma simplex
Lineage: Eukaryota; Metazoa; Arthropoda; Insecta; Coleoptera; Dermestidae
Description: partial 16S ribosomal RNA
Source: RNAcentral
UUUAUUUAAAGUCUGGUCUGCUCACUGAUAAAUUAAAGAGCCGCAGUAUUUUGACUGUGCGAAGGUAGCAUAAUAAUUAUUUCUUGAUUGGGAACUGGUAUGAAUGGUUGGACGAGAAAAGUUCUGUCUCUUUCUAAUUUUAUUGAAUUUUACUUUUAAGUUAAAAGGCUUAAAUUUUGUUAAAAGACGAGAAGACCCUAUAGAGUUUUAUUAUUUAAUUUUUAUUGAGUUUUGGUAAUAUAAUUCUUAAGAUGUAAAAUAAUUUGGUUGGGGUGAUUGGAAAAUUUAUUUAACUUUUCUUUUAUUUUUACAUUUAUUUAUGAUUGAUUGAUCCGUUAUUUACGAUUAUAAGAUUAAAUUACCUUAGGGAUAACAGCGUAAUUUUUCUUGAGAGUCUCUUAUCGAAAGAAGAGUUGCG